Molecule: non-coding RNA, 72 nt
Organism: Ictidomys tridecemlineatus (thirteen-lined ground squirrel)
Lineage: Eukaryota; Metazoa; Chordata; Mammalia; Rodentia; Sciuridae
Source: Rfam
CGGGUUGUAGCUCAGUGGUAGAGUGCUUGUCUCUCACACAUGAGGCCAUGGGUACAAUCCUCAGCACCACAU